GACGAGGUCCUCCUCUUCCAUGGUCGCACCCUGGGCACCAUCGUCCCACCCCGGGUGACAAUAAGUUCGGCUGGGACCCUUGUUUCCAACCCCAGGGUUACAACCAGACAUAUGCAGAGCUGGAGCCCAACAUCAAGAAUGCCAUCUCUCACCGCCGCCGUGCCAUCGAUGCUCUUAGGAACUACUUUACCAGUGAUGCAGGACGACAACUUCUCUCUGACAAACUUAAAGUUGAAGAGUCUAGCAAAUAAUGACUAUUUGAAAGUUGAUUGAUAGUUCUAGGCCUUCCAUUUUGAAGUGAAACCUUCAUCAAGAGCAUUCAAAAUUAUAUAUAAUAUAUAUAUAUAUAUUUUUUUUUUUUCAACAAGUCGGUCGUCUCCCACCGAGGCAGGGUGACCCACCGAGGCAGGGUGACCCAAAAAAGAAAGAAAAUCCCCAAAAAGAAAAUACUUUCAUCAUCAUUCAACACUUUCACCACACUCACACAUUAUCACUGUUUUUGCAGAGGUGCUCAGAAUACAACAGUUUAGAAGCAUAUACAUAUAAAGAUACACAACAUAUCCUCCCCAAAAUGCCAAUAUCCCAAACCCCUCCUUUAAAGUGCAGGUAACAUUGUACUUCCCAUUUCCAGGACUCAAGUCCGACUAUAUGAAAAUAACCGGUUUCCCUGAAUCCCUUCACUAAAUAUUACCCUGCUCACACUCCAACAGAUCGUCAGGUCCCAAGUAUCAUUCGUCUCCAUUCACUCCUAUCUAACACGCUCACGCACGUUUGCUGGAAGUCCAAGCCCCUCGCCCACAAAACCUCCUUUACCCCCUCUUUCCAACCCUUUCGAGGACGAUCCCUACCCCGCCUUCCUUCCCCUACAGAUUUAUACGCUCUCCAUGUCAUUCUACUUUGAUCCAUUCUCUCUAAAUGACCAAACCACCUCAACAACCCCUCUGAAAGGCCCAGAGCUAUUAUUCAAUUCAUAUUUAUUUAUAAAACAUUUUGAAUAAAAAAUAAAUCCCGUUCUUGUAAUUUAUUACCUGGUAAUUAAAUUCUUUGAGAA
Molecule: non-coding RNA, 1051 nt
Organism: Cherax quadricarinatus
Lineage: Eukaryota; Metazoa; Arthropoda; Malacostraca; Decapoda; Parastacidae
Source: RefSeq, a predicted model, not a curated record